Molecule: ribosomal RNA, 482 nt
Filed under: uncultured bacterium
Lineage: Bacteria
Description: bacterial SSU rRNA
Rfam family: Bacterial small subunit ribosomal RNA
Source: RNAcentral
AUUGAACGCUGGCGGAAUGCUUUACACAUGCAAGUCGAACGGUAACGCGGGGCAACCUGGCGACGAGUGGCGAACGGGUGAGUAAUGCAUCGGAACGUGCCCAGUAGUGGGGGAUAGCCCGGCGAAAGCCGGAUUAAUACCGCAUACGACCUACGGGUGAAAGCGGGGGAUCGCAAGACCUCGCGCUAUUGGAGCGGCCGAUGUCAGAUUAGGUAGUUGGUGAGGUAAAGGCUCACCAAGCCAACGAUCUGUAGCUGGUCUGAGAGGACGACCAGCCACACUGGAACUGAGACACGGUCCAGACUCCUACGGGAGGCAGCAGUGGGGAAUUUUGGACAAUGGACGCAAGUCUGAUCCAGCCAUUCCGCGUGCAGGAUGAAGGCCCUCGGGUUGUAAACUGCUUUUGUACGGAACGAAAAGGUUUCUAUUAAUACUAGGAGCUCAUGACGGUACCGUAAGAAUAAGCACCGGCUAACUACGUG